ACGGACGGUCCGGAGUCAGUGGGUUAUCCAAAAAUUUGAAACCCUCCCAUUGACACCAACUUGACCGUUUG
This 71-nucleotide small RNA is filed under the name Caenorhabditis brenneri. Its description in RNAcentral is "snoRNA CBN33954". It matches the Rfam family "Nematode sRNA ceN72-3_ceN74-2". The record is from Rfam by way of RNAcentral. Lineage: Eukaryota; Metazoa; Nematoda; Chromadorea; Rhabditida; Rhabditidae.